GAUGAACGCUGGCGGCGUGCCUAAUACAUGCAAGUCGAGCGAACAGACGAGGAGCUUGCUCCUCUGCCGUUAGCGGCGGACGGGUGAGUAACACGUGGAUAACCUACCUAUAAGACUGGGAUAACUUCGGGAAACCGGAUCUAAUACCGGAUCAUAUAUUGAACCGCAUGGUUCAAUAGUGAAAGACGGUUUUGCUGUCACCUAUAGAUGGAUCCGCGCCGCAUUAGCUAGUUGGUAAGGUAACGGCUUACCAAGGCAACGAUGCGUAGCCGACCUGAGAGGGUGAUCAGCCACACUGGAACUGAGACACGGUCCAGACUCCUACGGGAGGCAGCAGUAGGGAAUCUUGCACAAUGGGCGAAAGCCUGACGGAGCAACGCCGCGUGAGUGAAGAAGGUCUUCGGAUCGUAAAACUCUGUUAUUAGGGAAGAACAAAUGUGUAAGUAACUAUGCACGUCUUGACGGUACCUAAACAGAAAGCCACGGCUAACUACGUG
Molecule: ribosomal RNA, 497 nt
Filed under: uncultured bacterium
Lineage: Bacteria
Description: partial 16S ribosomal RNA
Rfam family: Bacterial small subunit ribosomal RNA
Source: RNAcentral